RNAcentral lists this ribosomal RNA (2007 nucleotides) under Triticum aestivum (bread wheat). RNAcentral's name for it is "partial small subunit ribosomal RNA". Lineage: Eukaryota; Viridiplantae; Streptophyta; Magnoliopsida; Poales; Poaceae. The record is from RNAcentral.
AUGGCGGCGGCGGCUCAUCUGCUGGGCGACGACGGCCGCGGGUACGAGCUGGCGCGGCGGCUGGAGGCCUGCGGCGCGUGGCGCGCGUGGCUCGGCGACGGCGCCCACGCCUCCCUCGCGCCGCACCUCGCGUCCGCCUCCACCUGGGACGCCUUCCUCUGCCCCUCCUCCUCCUCAUCCUCCUCGCCCCCGCGCCAGCUCCUCCUCCUCCAGCUCCGCGUCCGCGCGCUCCUCUUCGACAAGGCCUCCGCCGCGCUCGUCCCCCGCGCCGGUGCCUCCCCCGCCGGCCCCCACUCCCUCAACGCCAGCUAUCUUCAGCUUCAUGGAGAUGAUAUUUAUUUCUCUUUGGAAGAUGAGCAGGAAGAUAACACUCAACAUCAAAUGCAAUCUGGAACUGCGUUUAGUCCAAGCAGGGAGAGUUCGAUGUUAUCUCAAAGGCACAAGCGACAUGAUGAGUUACCUGGCACAUGGUACAAGCAAUAUGCUGAAAAGUUCAGGACAUUGCAUGGCAAGUUUCGCCCAGAUGACAAAGAAAUGCCAAAGAGAACACCAGAGGGAAUGUCUGACUAUCUUAAGGUUUGCAGUGUGCAUAAAAGGAAGAGGACUGUGUUUACGGACAAUCAGGGUCCCAACAUUAUGUUGGAAAAUGGGGAAUUCAGUAAUUCAACAGAUGAUCCUUUCAUCCCGGAAAUACAAUUUCCAGCUGACUGUGUUCCAGAAAGUGCAAUCCCUAGAGAGAGUGGGAUAUCUAUCAGCAAUAAAAUUGAAGUUCACGGUGUUCUUGAUAAUUUACCGGCACCUGUUAGUCGCAACACUGCAAUGCUCGAAAGGUUUGGAAUGAUGCCUGAGUACUACAAGACAGGAAACAAAUAUAGAGGGAAGGAUCUAUCUAAAGUAGAAGGAAAAUCUUUAAGUCAAGAACAAGCAUUGCUUAUCACACGGAAGUUGGUUGCUCGAUACUUAGCAGUUGCAGGCUUUGAAAGUGGAACUGCAGGGUCUGUUGAUGAUUUUUCAGAUAUCAUUGUUAAGCACAUCUCUAAGCUAGGGCGCAAUUUGAAACUUAUAACUGACAGCUACAGGAAACAAUUUUCAUCCAUUGAGCUUCUUAAGAUGUUCCUACAGACUGUUGGCUACAGUAACAUUGGACCCUUGAUGGAGAUUACAAAGAUGGGCAGUAGAGUGGCUAGCCACCCAGUUCAUCAAGAUGCUCAAGUACAAAAUCAAAAUAAUCUCCUUCAAGCCCAACAGCUCCAGAGGCAGUACACUCCUCAAAUGACUAUCCAUAACCAGAAUCUGACAGCACAGCAGCAGCACCAGCUGCUGCAGCAGCAACAGUGGAUGAGGCGGAACCAAAUGACGGGGCCCCGUGGCGCUCUUACGAUGUCGGACAAAGCCCAGGCCCUGGUAAACGUGAAGCUCGAGAACACCAUGGAUUCACAAAUAGAUAGCCCGUACGGAUCUCUCACCCGACAACAACAACAGAUGCAGCAGCUGAGGCACCAGCAGCUACUGCAGCAGCAGCAACAGAAGCAGAUCCAGCAGCAGCAGGUAUUGCAGCUGCACCAGCAGCAACAGCAGCAGCCGCAGCAGCAGCAGCAGCAGCUCCAGCCACAGCAGCAACAACACCUCCAGCAGCACCAACACCUCCAGCAGCAGCACCACCACCAGCAGCAACACCUCCAGCAGCAGCACCACCAGCAGCAACAGCAGCUUCAGCAGCAGCUGGGCAUGUCCGGAAACCAGAGCGCCCAAGCCCAGCUAGCGCAGCAGCAGCAGCUGGGCAUGUCUGGAAACCAGAGCGCACAAGCCCAGCUAGCGCAGCAGCAGCAGCUGGGCAUGUCUGGAAACCAGAGCGCCCAAGCCCAGCUAGCGCAGCAGUUCAAACAAGCGCCGCAGUCGAUGAACUCGUACGGCAUGCGGGUGCCGCCUGUGAAGGUGGAGGCGUUCCACGAACUGGUGAGCGGGGACUCGUCCAGCGACACCAGCAAACUCACAUCUCCAAAGUAG